GUUGUCGGCGGGGGCGGAGGCUGUGGGUGGCGGGGGCGCGCUCAGUCUCGCUUGUGCUCCUCGUGCCGGGCCGAGGCGGCGGCGGCUGAGGCGGCAGGGGCAGGGCCAGCAGGAGGGUAUGGGGGAUGGACCCGGCGUGGCGGCCGCGGCAGGAGCCGGGGGCUGAGCGCUCGAGACGGCGCUGCGAAACGCCGGCUGCCCUCUGCUGCCCGCCGGUGUUACCCUAUGGAGAAGAGGUACCAUAGUCAGCCCUUUCUGCAGAUGCUGAUGCUUGGUGAACAGCUGAUCACAGGAUUUGGAAAACACAGUGUCCAUCCUCCCAGAUUGGAUCUCUCUCUCUUUUUUUUUUUUUUUUGGUACCAGGGAUCAAACUCGGGACCUUGCGCUUGCGAGGAAGGUGGUGGAAUCACUGAGCUAAAUCCCUGUCUCCUGAAUCUCUUUUCAUAAGGAUAUUCUAUUUCUAUGUCUUUUUAAAAAAUAACUUUUUGGGAAACAUUUUGGAUUAUAAUUGUUUGUUCUCAUCUAUGCAAAGGAAGGAAGACUGUUGCUGGGAUUUUUAAGGAGUGCUGGGAAUGGAAACCAGAGCUUCAGGCAUGCUAAGCAAGAUCUCUACUGUUGAACUCCAUCCUCAGCCCUUGAAACAUCUACCUUCUACACAUGGUUGAUUUUUUUAAGAAAAAUUGAACAGGGCUUUGGUCAUGCUAGACUCAAGUGACCACAUCAUCUGGUAUGCCCAUGACCUUCCCCGUUUGAAUGCUGGAAAUCUUGCAACCUGGGUAGUCCUCAAGUUCCAGAAGAGCAAACAGCGCCCCCACACCAGAUGUUGCCUGUAGCUUGUACUCUCACCCCUGUCACCUCCUCGAGCCAUUGCCUAAGUGUCAUACUACACUGAAGUCUCCUCUGCCCACUGUGUGUAAUGUGGCAAUGUGAUUCUUGACUGUCCUGAUUACCCUCCCAGAUGCUAUCUGUAAAGCUGGUUGCUAUCUAAUGGCUGGUACUUACUAAUGUAUUUGUCAAUUCUUCUGAGAGUCCCACAAGAAUUGGGAUUAUCAGGCCAGGGAUUUAGCUCAGUGGUUUCACCCCG
Non-coding RNA from Heterocephalus glaber (naked mole-rat), 1084 nucleotides. NCBI's taxonomy places the organism in Eukaryota, Metazoa, Chordata, Mammalia, Rodentia, Bathyergidae. The record is from RefSeq and is a predicted model, not a curated record.